ACGGAGGGUGCAAGCGUUAAUCGGAAUUACUGGGCGUAAAGCGCACGCAGGCGGUCUGUCAAGUCGGAUGUGAAAUCCCCGGGCUCAACCUGGGAACUGCAUUCGAAACUGGCAGGCUUGAGUCUUGUAGAGGGGGGUAGAAUUCCAGGUGUAGCGGUGAAAUGCGUAGAGAUCUGGAGGAAUACCGGUGGCGAAGGCGGCCCCCUGGACAAAGACUGACGCUCAGGUGCGAAAGCGUGGGGAGCAAACAGGAUUAGAUACCCUGGUAGUCCACGCCGUAAACGAUGUCUACUUGGAGGUUGUGCCCUUGAGGCGUGGCUUCCGGAGCUAACGCGUUAAGUAGACCGCCUGGGGAGUACGGCCGCAAGGUUAAAACUCAAAUGAAUUGACGGGGGCCCGCACAAGCGGUGGAGCAUGUGGUUUAAUUCGAUGCAACGCGAAGAACCUUACCUGGUCUUGACAUCCACAGAAG
RNAcentral lists this ribosomal RNA (472 nucleotides) under Salmonella enterica subsp. enterica serovar Enteritidis. Its description in RNAcentral is "bacterial SSU rRNA". It matches the Rfam family "Bacterial small subunit ribosomal RNA", at positions 525 to 996 of the family's 1533-position model. The record is from RNAcentral. Lineage: Bacteria; Pseudomonadati; Pseudomonadota; Gammaproteobacteria; Enterobacterales; Enterobacteriaceae.